GAACCAACAGGGAUUGCCUCAGUAACGGCGAGUGAAGCGGCAACAGCUCAAAUUUGAAAUCUGGCUCCUUCGGGGCCCGAGUUGUAAUUUGGAGAAGAUGCUUCGGGUGUGGCCCCGGUCUAAGUUCCUUGGAACAGGACGUCACAGAGGGUGAGAAUCCCGUACGUGACCGGUGGCCGCCCCCGUGUGAAGCUCUUUCGACGAGUCGAGUUGUUUGGGAAUGCAGCUCAAAAUGGGUGGUAAAUUUCAUCUAAAGCUAAAUAUUGGCCAGAGACCGAUAGCGCACAAGUAGAGUGAUCGAAAGAUGAAAAGCACUUUGGAAAGAGAGUUAAACAGUACGUGAAAUUGUUGAAAGGGAAGCGCUUGCAACCAGACUUGCGCGCGGCCGAUCAUCCGGUGUUCGCACCGGUGCACUCGGUCGCGCUCAGGCCAGCAUCGGUUUGGGUGGUUGGAUAAAGGCCUCGGGAAUGUGGCUCUCUUCGGGGAGUGUUAUAGCCCGAGGUGCAAUGCAGCCUACCCGGACCGAGGACCGCGCUUCGGCUAGGAUGCUGGCGUAAUGGUUGUAAGCGACCCGUCUU
RNAcentral lists this ribosomal RNA (578 nucleotides) under Oidiodendron rhodogenum. RNAcentral's name for it is "partial 28S ribosomal RNA". It matches the Rfam family "Eukaryotic large subunit ribosomal RNA", at positions 56 to 655 of the family's 3401-position model. Lineage: Eukaryota; Fungi; Ascomycota; Leotiomycetes; Myxotrichaceae. The record is from RNAcentral.